Molecule: long non-coding RNA, 528 nt
Organism: Cydia strobilella
Lineage: Eukaryota; Metazoa; Arthropoda; Insecta; Lepidoptera; Tortricidae
Exons: 4
Source: RefSeq, a predicted model, not a curated record
AAUUGGAAUGUCAUAAUGACAAAUUGCAGUUAUGAAAAGUCAUAAAUACUCAUGAACACUAAUCAAAUAAUAAAUAUUGGACAGUAAAAUGUGGUUAACUGGUUUAUUUUUAUAGAAUUCAAGAGAAAAUUAUCUAAUGAGGAAAGUUUUUUGUCAUGGGUUUUUGUGGUUUUCUUAUUAAAAAUGGGGUAAUUUUUGGAGCUGGAAUGUAUGCAGGAGUGUAUGUAGCUCAAAAUUAUCAGGGUGCUCUUGUAUAUUUCUGUGAGAAAACAAGUAAAGCUUGUGACGAAGCAUUGGAUGAUUAUAAAAAGCGAUGAUAGAUAAAGUGGAAGACCCAAAGGUGUUAUUUAACAAAGUCUAUGACUCAAUUAAAGAGAAAAUUGACGAAAUAAAAAAUCCUAAAGAUAAAUGAAACUGAAUAUGGAGAUGUAGCUGAAGAAAAUAUGCAUUCAAUUUUGUAAAUAUGAUUUACUUUAGUUAUGGUUAUACAAAGAUAAUUUAAAUAGUAAUAAAUAAUAUUUACUGAAA